UGCUCUUAAACCUAGCCGACUGGCUUUAUCUUUCUCCUAUAUAUUAUAUUGUCAUGAAGCCCUAAUCCUUAAGAGCGCAGUUCAAUAAUGACUGAUAAAAUGGAGCUGCCCACGUCUUGAGCAGUCUCACUCUAGAUCCAUCCCUUACCCCAACAGAAGUUAUCCGCUUCAAACCACAACCAAUUCUCCUUCCAAUGCAAAAGGAAACCCACUAUAGUUCAGGCGAACACGGGCACGGUCACCAGUGUGGUACCUAACCUUUCCACAAGUGUUGAAAUGGAUAGACAUAAAGUAAAUUGCGUGAAGAGAGAGGGUUGUUCCUCUCGUGAAGCAUCAUCUCCUUUAGUGCGGCACAUGUUAAUAUGCCCCCAUUUGGUUCAACUUAAAAGGCCGAUUUAAAUUUGAGUCAGAGUCAGCAAUCAAUUUUAAUUGUAUAAUUUAUUGGAUUCACAACUUUUCAAUCACUACAUUCCAUCAACUUUUAUCAAAAUUUACAAAGAAUCUGAAUUUUAUUUAAACCAAGCAAGGCUAAAUUUGACGGAGGAGCUUCAGCCUAUGCCACUCUCUUCAUUGAUGACAUUUCCUUGGGACAUGCUCCCCCUCUUCAUCACUUGGCUCGGUGGUUAAACUGGUUUACAAAUAAUGUGGCUUAGUUCUCGACUUGGUUAUGGGAAUUACCAGCUGUCCACUUUAGCUUUGUCCGGGGAGAAAGAUCAACUGCUUGAGUCUCAGGUUCUGAGAGUAUGGUGUCUGGGAAGGUUCUCCUAUCUGGUUUGGGAUGUCCAGUCUCGUUUUAUGUUGUGUCUGGUUAGGUGAGACACGGGUCGACAGAUGGUCCAUUGGCUGUUUGUUGUGCUGCCCUGGAGUAGCUCUUCAGUCUUUUUUUGGUGGCUAAGUCAGUGCAUAGGUUGCCAAGGUGGAGCUUGGUUGGUCAACUUCCAUGUCUAAUCUGUCUUGUUUCUCAUCUUACUUGUCCUCUGCAAAGUGUGCACAAUUGACAUUAGAGGUUUCUAAUUGGUAUGUUCACUUCUGCAUUUAUAGAAGUACUUGAGUGUUAGGAUGCAAUGUUAUUUUGUUUGGCAUCUAUUAGUUAACAUGAGAAUUUAGUACAUUAUAUCAGUGAGGUAGUGCAGUUAACAAUUGGUUGCGGUGAUGAGAUACAGAAUUUGUUGAAAGCACAUUGUGCUUGAUGUAAUAUCGACUUUUGAUGUCGAUCCUGAGCGGUUACCUGAGCAACCUGUAGUUUCUAAUAUCAUUGGUGUUCCAAUAUUCUGUCAUAGAACCAGGUAAAAAAUUUGGUCAUUUUACUACGAUCUAAUAUCUAAUAAUCUAUAUAAACACUCACAAUGUCUUCUUAUGUCUGGGUAAUUUGAUAAUUUCCAGCAUCAUAAUAUCCUUGACUAUUUUCAAGAGUUCAACAACAUGCGUCUUUAUGUCAAUUUCAAGUUC
This is a long non-coding RNA of Olea europaea var. sylvestris, 1449 nucleotides long. RefSeq lists it as uncharacterized. Lineage: Eukaryota; Viridiplantae; Streptophyta; Magnoliopsida; Lamiales; Oleaceae. The record is from RefSeq and is a predicted model, not a curated record. The transcript has 2 exons.